RNAcentral lists this ribosomal RNA (2064 nucleotides) under Triticum aestivum (bread wheat). RNAcentral describes it as "partial small subunit ribosomal RNA". The record is from RNAcentral. Lineage: Eukaryota; Viridiplantae; Streptophyta; Magnoliopsida; Poales; Poaceae.
AUGGCCUCCUCGCCCUCCCCCUCGCCGGGGGCCACCAAGGCCUCCCCGGCCGACUCCGUCGCGCCCGCCACCUCCUCCCCCUUCUCCCCCGCCCCGGUCAAGCUGCCCAAUGACACCCCGGCCGACCCGCCGGCGGCCCCUCCCGCGCCCUCCGCGGCCGUGCCGCCGCAGACGCCAGAAUCCCCGCCGCCCCCUUCUCCGUCGCCGCCCCCGGACCCCGUCGCGUCGCCGCCGCCGGUCCCCGUCGCCUCUCCGCCGCCCACCCCGCCAGCAACAAUGCCGCCUGCUCAAGUGCCGCCGCCGCCCGCGCCUGCUGCCGACCCGCCCAAGCAGUCGCCUUUGCGGCCCCCUGCGCCGGCCGCGUCGCCGCCGCCGCCAAAGAGCACUUCUCCACCACCAAGCCCGCCGGAUCGCUCGACCGCGCCGCCCGUGCCGCGGUCACCACCGCCGCGCCACCCGGGGUCGCCGCCUCCUCCAACCGAGCCGCAGGCGCCGCCGCCCUCUGUCAGUCCCAUCAUCAAACCUCCCACCAGCCCCUCCCCAACCCCUGUAGAUCCCACCACCCCUACUGCUCCCACCACCCCCUCACCGCCGUCGACGCCAGGUUUUGGUCCUCCAUCCGUGCCUACCAGCCCAACAACAACCCCACCAACACCAAUUGCUCCCAACAUCCCACAGGUCCCCUCAUGGCAGGACAGCAGACCCUCGCCGAGCAGCGGUGGAUUGUCUAAUGGCGCAAAGGCGGGGAUCGGCAUCGUCGUGGCGAUUCUCGUGCUUAGUUUGAUCGGCGCCGGGUGCUGGUACAAGAAGAAGCGGAGGAGAAUGACCGGUUACCAUGCCGGGUUUGUGAUGCCUUCACCCUCACCAUCUGCUUCUCCACAAGUGUUACUAGGGCAUUCAGAGAAGACUAAAACCAAUUACAGCGCCGGGAGCCCUGAGUUCAAAGACACAAUGUCAGAGUACAGCAUGGGCAACUGCCGCUUCUUCACCUACGAGGAAAUGCACAACAUCACAAACGGUUUCUCUGAUCAAAACCUGCUGGGGGAAGGCGGCUUUGGGUCUGUUUACAAGGGUUGCUUGCCCGAAGGGAGAGAGGUUGCCAUUAAGAAACUGAAAGAUGGCAGUGGGCAGGGGGAGCGCGAGUUCCAGGCCGAGGUGGAGAUCAUCAGCCGCGUGCAUCACCGCCACCUGGUUUCUCUCGUUGGGUAUUGCAUCUCGGGCGACCAGCGCUUGCUUGUCUACGAUUUUGUGCCCAAUGACACGCUGCACUAUCAUCUACAUGGACGUGGAGUGCCGGUUCUGGAAUGGCCAGCCAGGGUUAAAAUCUCUGCUGGAUCGGCUAAAGGAAUAGCAUAUCUUCAUGAAGAUUGUCAUCCCCGAAUUAUCCACCGAGAUAUAAAAUCCUCUAAUAUUCUGCUGGAUAACAACUUCGAGGCACAGGUUGCUGAUUUUGGUCUUGCAAGACUAGCCAUGGAUUUUGCUACGCAUGUAACUACACGGGUGAUGGGAACUUUUGGGUACAUGGCUCCAGAGUAUGCAUCCAGUGGCAAAUUGACAGAGAAAUCUGAUGUCUUCUCUUUUGGCGUUGUCCUCUUAGAGCUCAUUACUGGUAGAAAGCCCGUCGACGCAUCAAAUCCAUUGGGUGAUGAGAGCCUUGUCGAGUGGGCUAGGCCACUGCUGACCCAAGCGCUCGAGACUGGCAAUGCAGGGGAGCUGCUGGACCCCAGGCUGGACAAGAACUUCAACGAGGUCGAACUGUUCCAUAUGAUCGAAGCGGCAGCAGCCUGCAUCCGAUACUCGGCAGCCCGGAGGCCCCGGAUGAGCCAGGUGGUGCGCGCUCUCGAUAGCCUAACCGACGUCGACCUGACCAACGGGGUGCAGCCGGGGAUGAGCGAGAUGUUCAACGCCCCCAACACCGCGGAGAUCAGGCUGUUCCAGCGGAUGGCGUUCGGGAGCCAGGACUUCACGACCGACUUCACCCAGUCCAGCAGCUGGAACAGCAGCCGUCAGGGCGGAGACGCCGAUGCCUCUGGUGGGCCGAUGCACUCGCAAUUGCAACCAUAG